AUACGAAGGGGGCUAGCGUUGUUCGGAAUUACUGGGCGUAAAGCGCGCGUAGGCGGACUGAUCAGUUGGGGGUGAAAUCCCAGGGCUUAACCCUAGAACUGCCUCCAAUACUGUCAGUCUUGAGUUCGGGAGAGGUGAGUGGAAUUCCUAGUGUAGAGGUGAAAUUCGUAGAUAUUAGGAAGAACACCAGUGGCGAAGGCGGCUCACUGGCCCGAUACUGACGCUGAGGCGCGAAAGCGUGGGGAGCAAACAGGAUUAGAAACCCUUGUAGUCC
Molecule: ribosomal RNA, 274 nt
Filed under: uncultured bacterium
Lineage: Bacteria
Description: partial 16S ribosomal RNA
Rfam family: Bacterial small subunit ribosomal RNA
Source: RNAcentral